CCUGAGCCGAAGGCAGAGGCCCAACCCACUGAACCACCCAGGCCCCUGUUACAACAAUCUUAAGUGGAGUAGAUACUUUCUCCUUUGCCAGUGAGUAAACAAACUGAGGCUUAGAGUUCUACAGCUGUUUCUUGUUUUUUAAAGAACCAUAAACAUUUUGUGGGAGUGCUGUUGCAUUUUUCAGUUUCAUUGAGAAAUAAUUGAGUUACAUUUAGCCCAGGCGUUCUCCACUAGGGUGGAGUGCGCUGAUGGGUGCUGCUGAGUAUCCUGCAAUGCAUGACAGCCCCCACCACAAAGAACUAUCUGCCCAGAAUGUCAGAGCUGAGGCCGAAACUUUGUAUUAGAUGAACUUGAGAGCCCUGGGCUCCAUUCCCAGCCUGUUAACAAAUAACCCCACCGGAGCCUUAUUUCCUUGUAAAAUAGGGUUAUUGUUUUCCAGAUCUGGCUAUACAUCUAAGGGUGGAGAAGUACACCUCCAGCCAUGGUUGAGAAUGACCCUGGAGUGAGGCCCAAGAUUUGUGUGGCUGCCCCAAGAGCAGUCAUACAGGAACAAUUAGAUGAUCUGAUCCACUUUUAGCUCGGGGACUUUUUAUUACAGCAAGAUUACAGCACUGGCUAUUUAUAAGUAGCUCUUGGGGCAGAUCUAUAAUCCUCUACUUAAAAAAAACUGAUCUAGCUCUGUGGAUCAUGUUUAUGCAGAGGAGAAGGAAGGAGGAGAUGACCUUGAGUGGCGGUGCCUCCUGGCAGCAGGUUCCUUUGUACAGCUGGCCUUCAGAGAAGUCCCAAAGAAGUACAGUCCCAGCCUUGGUUUCCGAGGCUGGAAAGGAUCCUACAGAGGCAGAUGGCCCAGUCCACUGCCCUGGGCCUGAAGCGGAGACUUUUGUAUGUAAGUAGAGCCCUUCCAAAUAGACUUGGGUGGGAGGUUUGUUUGCUGCUCCUGCCCCGGGUUUAGGAUUGUGCUGGGGGCAGGGAGAUUUUAACAUGGGUUUGUUCUUUGGCUGGAUGUCUGCAGUGUGUGAAACAGAGCGGAGCUGCUUUGCCUGAAGUGAAAGGACCCCUCCCCUGUUGCUUGUAGUCUCUCUUUCCAUCUUCCGUGUCCCUAGGAAGCCCCACGAGCCUGUGAUGGUGAGUUAUCCCUGUCCGAACAUCUGGGCUGAGGGGAAACCGUCUAUUCUGAGGCAUCGGGGUUUGGCUCUUUGCUCUUAAAGGUUUAGGCUUCAUCAGGAAUCAGCCUGAAUGGACUCCAGAGGAAAUUGUUACCUCGCCGAGACCCCAGUGGCGUGCGUCAUCCCUCUGCAACUUGAAAACCAGUAGUGUGGCUGCCCUGUCACGCUCUGGGCCCUUGAUCAGUGGUCCUCAGGGUACAGGCUCUGAGAAGGGGCAGACAUGGGCAAGUAGCCCAGUUUCGGGUCAUGUUCUUAUUGUGGAAUCAAAGAGUGCUUGUCCCAUAUUUCAAGGAAAUGAAUGCACUCUUUGAAACUGACGGGAAUGUCGGAAGUCUGCCAGCUGUGGCAGGACUGGGACCUCCCUCAGCACCACAUUGUGACAUUCGGGAAAGAAGGGCUGCCGUGGCGCCAGAAGAGCUGUUUGGUUUCCAGGUGCUUCGUUCACACCACCAGGGAGCUCUCCUAGGGUUAGCUCAGAUCGUUUCUGGACAGCGUAGUGGGCAUGACGCUGCUCCUGGCGUGGCCUAGGGCUGCGUGGGCUGGCGUGUGACCCAAAAGUAGCCCAGUGUACUGGGCGGGGUGGUGGUCUGGCUUUGUUCCCACUUAAAUGCCAGGCUUGGAGUGGGCAGAUGGCCUUUGUUGUUGUUGAAAUUGGGAGGUAUGUAUGGGCUUUUGUUAUUUAAGGUCACAUAAUUGUUCAGUCACCAAGGAAGCUAGAUUUGGGGUGGGAUUUAAUAAGCCUGAAGACUGGCCCCAGCAGUUUACAGCCUGUAAGUAAAAAACAGUAAAAGGAAGCGGUAGGGAGUCGGGAAGUCAGCUUCUUGCAUUAUCGUUGAUGCAGAGUCCGUCAGAACUGCUCUGUGGGACUCCUGUAGAUCUUCAGGUUUGACUUGAAAGGUUUUACCUCCAGAAAAGGGUUGAAUGAGACGGUCUCCGGUGCUUCUUGGUGGUUCUCCCCUCGCCGGGCCUGCUCCCUUCGCGCCUCAGCUGGUGAGGGCAGCCUGCUCCGAAGCGGUCUGUGCCCGAUGUUCGGUUGGAAUGAGCGCUGCUACGAUUGCCUUUUCUUCUCUAGAUCUGGCUUUCAGUUUUGAGGCCCGUACUUGACUGGCCCGUCACACGACUCUCCUUUGGUCUUGCAGGUUCUCCUCCGCGACGCCAGGUGGAGCUGCACUGCGUCUGUUGCGAACUGUUCAUGCCCAUAAACUGAGGCCCCAGAGGGAGAACAAUUGGAAGGAUUCUUUGGAUUUUCUCUUCAAAAAGGAACCAAAUAAUUUGAGUGACAGUUUACCCCGAAAAAUAUCUGGCGGUUAGUCAAAUCAGGGCAUAACUAGGAACAUGCAGAACGCCGCAGUUGAGCCGAUCUGGGUGUGAGCGGCGCACUGGCAGGAAGGCGGGGAUUGUGAACGGAGAAUGACGUGUACGCGCUGUGUUUUGGAGAGUCUGAGGGGAAGCAGGUGUUUGGCCUAGAAAGAGGUUUCUCAGAGUGGAUUUCCUGUGAAGUUAAUGUAUCUUGGGCUUAAGAUUUGAAGCAUAAAUAAAAGUUUUUGAAAAUGUG
Enhydra lutris kenyoni (northern sea otter) is the source of this 2721-nucleotide long non-coding RNA. RefSeq lists it as uncharacterized. The transcript has 2 exons. The record is from RefSeq and is a predicted model, not a curated record. NCBI's taxonomy places the organism in Eukaryota, Metazoa, Chordata, Mammalia, Carnivora, Mustelidae.